RNAcentral lists this long non-coding RNA (779 nucleotides) under Monodelphis domestica (gray short-tailed opossum). Its description in RNAcentral is "lncRNA (ENSMODG00000039129.1)". Lineage: Eukaryota; Metazoa; Chordata; Mammalia; Didelphimorphia; Didelphidae. The record is from RNAcentral.
UACUUGAAUGACAUUUAAAUCUGAUUUUGCUAAGAAAUGUAUGAAUUAAAAGUUGGAUUACUUACUUGAUGACAGAGAGGGAUAAACAGAUUCACAUAUCUCUUCGUAUUCUUAUGAUUUCAAGGGAACUUGAAGAGGUCCCUAACACAUCCUUGUGACCAACCUGUGGAAAGAAAUGGAUGAAGAUGGCAUAGCAUAGACAGGCAUGGAUGAAUUGCAAUCCAUAUCAUUGGGAAGGUAAGGAGGCUGUGUUUAAACUCUUAAGGUUAGAAGGAAGAUGCUAUAAUUAUUCCAUAAACUUCACCAGACUGCUAAAGGAUUUCUUAAGGCAAAAAAGAUGAAGAACCUCUCAUGUAAAUAUACUUUCUUUCAUACUGUUUUCUAGUUUGCUCAUAAGUUGUUGUCAAAUAUUGAAUCCUUAGCCUAGGUCUUAGUAUAUCUCAGUUUAUCAAAUACUGUUAGGUGUUCUUUUGCUUUAGUAUAUCUUUUGCUUUAGUAUAUCACUUUAUCUGUCCCACUGAUCAAUUUUUCUACUUUUGAAGAAGUACCAAACAAUUUUGAUGAGUAUGGCUUUAUGUUAUAAUUUGAAAUCUGGCACUUCUAGGUUUCCUUUGUUCUCAUUCCACUCUCCCCCUCAUUUCCCUUAAGAUGAAAUUUGUCAUUUUUAUAGAUUGAAAAGAUUUUAUGAAAACCAAACAACCAAUUUCAAAAAGGAAAAAGGUGAACUCAAUAAGCAAUGAGAGGAAUAAAAGAAAAUAUAAGUAAAUAAAUUUUGCCCA